This 233-nucleotide long non-coding RNA is filed under the name Dendronephthya gigantea. RNAcentral's name for it is "uncharacterized LOC114544121, transcript variant X2". The record is from RNAcentral. Lineage: Eukaryota; Metazoa; Cnidaria; Anthozoa; Malacalcyonacea; Nephtheidae.
AACAGUUUGGGAAAUUACUGGAGAAAGUUGCAGUGAAGUCUACCACGACCACUAGCUUGACCUAUGCAUGGGAGCAACUCAUGAAGUCUGUUAUUUGUGUGUCUAGAAAUCGGUCAUUGCAUUUAUCGAUUGUUCCAGCAUCCGUCGACAACAAUUUUGAAAGGUGCUGGUAUGGUUCUGAAGGCGAUAAUCGAGAACUUCACUUUAGGAAGCUGAUGAAGAAACCGCGGCAA